Molecule: ribosomal RNA, 461 nt
Filed under: uncultured bacterium
Lineage: Bacteria
Description: partial 16S ribosomal RNA
Rfam family: Bacterial small subunit ribosomal RNA
Source: RNAcentral
CCUACGUGUGGCAGCAGUGAGGAAUAUUGGUCAAUGGGCGGGAGCCUGAACCAGCCAAGUCGCGUGAGGGAAGACGGUCCUAUGGAUUGUAAACCUCGUUAGUCGGGGAGCAAUGCCGGGCACGCGUGCCCGGAGGGAGAGUACCCGCAGUAUAAGCAUCGGCUAACUCCGGACCAGCAGCCGCGGUAAUACGUAGGAUUCGAGCGUUAUCCGGAUUUAUUGGGUUUAAAGGGAGCGUAGGUGGAUUGUUAAGUCAGUUGUGAAAGUUUGCUGCUCAACCGUAAAAGUGCAGUUGAAACUGGCAGUCUUGAUUACAGUAGAGGUGAGCGGAAUUCGUGGUGUAGCGGUGAAAUGCUUAGAUAUCACGAAGAACUCCGAUUGCGAAGACAGUUCACUGGACUGCAACUGACACUGAGGCUCGAAAGUGUGGGUAUCAAACAGGAUUAGAUACCCGUGUAGUC